RNAcentral lists this unclassified non-coding RNA (248 nucleotides) under uncultured fungus. RNAcentral's name for it is "partial contains 5.8S ribosomal RNA, internal transcribed spacer 2, and large subunit ribosomal RNA". The record is from RNAcentral. Lineage: Eukaryota; Fungi.
AACGCACAUUGCGCCCGCCAGCACUCUGGCGGGCAUGCCUGUCCGAGCGUCAUUUCAACCCUCAAGCACUGCUUGGCGUUGGGGCACUACGCGCCGAGCGUAGGCCCCUAAAAUCAGUGGCGGGCCCGCCGUGGCUCCGGGCGUAGUAGCAACACCUCGCCCCGGGACUGCGGCGCGCUCCGGCCGUUAAACCCCCCACCAUACUGAAGGUUGACCUCGGAUCAGGUAGGAAUACCCGCUGAACUUAA